Molecule: ribosomal RNA, 301 nt
Filed under: uncultured bacterium
Lineage: Bacteria
Description: partial 16S ribosomal RNA
Rfam family: Bacterial small subunit ribosomal RNA
Source: RNAcentral
CAGCCGCCGCGGUAAUACGAAGGGUGCAAGCGUUACUCGGAAUUACUGGGCGUAAAGCGUGCGUAGGUGGUGGUUUAAGUCCGUUGUGAAAGCCCUGGGCUCAACCUGGGAAUUGCAGUGGAUACUGGGUCACUAGAGUGUGGUAGAGGAUAGUGGAAUUUCCGGUGUAGCAGUGAAAUGCGUAGAGGUCGGAAGGAACAUCUGUGGCGAAGGCGACUAUCUGGGCCAACACUGACACUGAGGCACGAAAGCGUGGGGAGCAAACAGGAUUAGAUACCCCCGUAGUCCCUGUCUCUUAUAC